This 70-nucleotide transfer RNA is filed under the name Dipodomys ordii (Ord's kangaroo rat). It matches the Rfam family "tRNA". From Rfam's summary of the family: Transfer RNA (tRNA) molecules are approximately 80 nucleotides in length. Their secondary structure includes four short double-helical elements and three loops (D, anti-codon, and T loops). Further hydrogen bonds mediate the characteristic L-shaped molecular structure. tRNAs have two regions of fundamental functional importance: the anti-codon, which is responsible for specific mRNA codon recognition, and the 3' end, to which the tRNAs corresponding amino acid is attached (by aminoacyl-tRNA synthetases). tRNAs cope with the degeneracy of the genetic code in two manners: having more than one tRNA (with a specific anti-codon) for a particular amino acid; and 'wobble' base-pairing, i.e. permitting non-standard base-pairing at the 3rd anti-codon position. Lineage: Eukaryota; Metazoa; Chordata; Mammalia; Rodentia; Heteromyidae. The record is from Rfam by way of RNAcentral.
GGGAAUGUGGCUUAGUGGUAAAGUGCUUGCCUAGCAUGCAUGAAGUUCUGGGUUUGAUUCCUCAGUACCA